This 242-nucleotide ribosomal RNA is filed under the name uncultured bacterium. Its description in RNAcentral is "partial 16S ribosomal RNA". It matches the Rfam family "Bacterial small subunit ribosomal RNA", at positions 118 to 346 of the family's 1533-position model. The record is from RNAcentral.
UGGGCAACCUGCCUCAAAGAGGGGAAUAGCCUCCCGAAAGGGAGAUUAAUACCGCAUAAUAUGUUUAAGUCGCAUGACUUUAACAUCAAAGGAUUUUCUUUUUAGAAGUUCCACUUUGAGAUGGACCCGCGGCGCAUUAGCUAGUUGGUGAGGUAACGGCUCACCAAGGCAAUGAUGCGUAGUCGACCUGAGAGGGUGAUCGGCCACAUUGGAACUGAGACACGGUCCAGAUCCGUACGGGG